AUAGCAUCUCAAUGCAAAAAAAAGAGGACAUUUUGUUUUUGUUUUUUUCUAAAAGGGGAAUAUAACCCGACUCCGAGCGAUGCACACAUCCAAUUUGAGUUUUAAAAAGAGUUUUACAGCCAACAUGUCACAAAGAGUAGCAACAAAGUAUAACCAGCAAAAAAUAAAACCACUAUCAAACGAAAACUUGAAAGCUUCCAAUACUAACCAUUAGAUAUCCAAUAAACAGAUUAGAGCCUUCAACUUUUAUCUUAUCCGUG
This 260-nucleotide long non-coding RNA is filed under the name Brachypodium distachyon (stiff brome). RNAcentral describes it as "long non-coding RNA (BDIS_LNC002351)". Lineage: Eukaryota; Viridiplantae; Streptophyta; Magnoliopsida; Poales; Poaceae. The record is from RNAcentral.